AUAAGAGGUCCAGCCUGCCCAGUGACGUUCAACGGCCGGGGUAUUCUAACCGUGCGAAGGUAGCGUAAUCACUUGUUUUCCAAAUAAAGACCAGUAUGAAAGGCACCACGAGGAUUAAGCUGUCUCCUUUUUCCAAUCAGUGAACCUAAUUCCCCCGUGAAGAAGCGGGGAUUAAAAUAUAAGACGAGAAGACCCUGUGGAGCUUAAAACAUUAUAACACCUGACUCCUGAUUAUAUGUUUUUGGUUGGGGUGACCGCGGAGAAAAACUCAUCCUCCGUAACGAAAAGCAAUAAGUUACAACUUUAUGCAUCAAAAACCUGACAUAUCGACCCAAUAAUUGAUCAAUGAACCAAGUUACCCCAGGGAUAACAGCACAAUCCACUUUAAGAGCUCCUAUCGACAAGUGGGCUUAUGACCUCGAUGUUGGAUCGGGGUAUCCUAGUGGUGCAGCCACU
This 456-nucleotide ribosomal RNA is filed under the name Pristimantis aff. taeniatus 3 AJC-2011. Its description in RNAcentral is "partial 16S ribosomal RNA". It matches the Rfam family "Bacterial large subunit ribosomal RNA", at positions 1845 to 2563 of the family's 2925-position model. Lineage: Eukaryota; Metazoa; Chordata; Amphibia; Anura; Strabomantidae. The record is from RNAcentral.